UACAGGGGGGGCAAGCGUUGUUCGGAAUUACUGGGCGUAAAGGGCUCGUAGGUGGCCAACUAAGUCGGACGUGAAAUCCCUCAGCUUAACUGGGGAACUGCAUCCGUAUACUGGAUGGCUUGAGUUUGGGAGAGGGAUGCGGAAUUCCAGGUGUAGCGGUGAAAUGCGUAGAUAUCUGGAGGAACACCGGUGGCGAAGGCGGCAUCCUGGACCAACACUGGACACUGAGGAGCGAAAGCCAGGGGAGCAAACGGG
This 255-nucleotide ribosomal RNA is filed under the name uncultured bacterium. RNAcentral's name for it is "partial 16S ribosomal RNA". It matches the Rfam family "Bacterial small subunit ribosomal RNA", at positions 524 to 776 of the family's 1533-position model. The record is from RNAcentral.